UUGAAAAUGAUGUUAAACUGUCACUGAUAGUUGGACUUAAUCUAUUUUGGAGAGAGUCGUAAACUUUUCCUAGGAUGUUCGCAUUUGCGAGGCAUUUGUCUGAUUCGCUU
Drosophila melanogaster (fruit fly) is the source of this 110-nucleotide small nucleolar RNA. It matches the Rfam family "Small nucleolar RNA Me28S-Am2589". From Rfam's summary of the family: Me28S-Am2589 is a member of the C/D class of snoRNA which contain the C (UGAUGA) and D (CUGA) box motifs. This family directs 2'-O-methylation of 28S A-2589. Lineage: Eukaryota; Metazoa; Arthropoda; Insecta; Diptera; Drosophilidae. The record is from Rfam.